This 665-nucleotide ribosomal RNA is filed under the name uncultured archaeon. RNAcentral's name for it is "bacterial SSU rRNA". It matches the Rfam family "Archaeal small subunit ribosomal RNA", at positions 82 to 725 of the family's 1478-position model. The record is from RNAcentral.
CGCACAGCCCAUUAACACGUGGCUAAUCUGCCCUUGGGACCGGAAUACCCCCGGGAAACCGGGGCUAAUUCUCGAUAGGUGAAGAACUCUGGAAUGAGUCUUUGCUUAAAAGACGUUUACGUUAUGCUCGUAGGCGUCGCCCAAGGAUGAGGCCGCGACCGAUCAGGUUGUUGGUGAGGUAAUGGCUCACCAAGCCUUUUACCGGUGCGGGCCGUGAGAGCGGGAGCCCGGAGAUGGGCACUGAGACAAGGGCCCAGGCCCUACGGGGCGCAACAGUCGCGAAAACUUUGCAAUACACGAAAGUGUGACAGGGCUAUCCCGAGUGCCAUCCGCUGAGGAAGGCUUUUACCCAGUCUAGAACGCUGGGGGAAUAAGGAGAGGGCAAGUCUGGUGUCAGCCGCCGCGGUAAUACCAGCUCUCCGAGUGGUGUGGAUGUUUAUUGGGCCUAAAGCAUCCGUAGCUGGCUAAGUUAGUCCCUUGUUAAAUCCACCGAAUUAAUCGUUGGAUUGCGGGGGAUACUGCUUGGCUAGGGGACGAGAGAAGCAAACGGUAUUAUCCGGGGUAAGGGUGAAAUCCUUAUAUCCCUAGGAAGACCAACCAUUGGCGAAUGGUAUCUGCUAGAACUCACCCCAACUGUAAGGGAUGAAAAUCAGGGGGAAUGAACC